RNAcentral lists this ribosomal RNA (378 nucleotides) under uncultured eukaryote. Its description in RNAcentral is "partial 18S ribosomal RNA". It matches the Rfam family "Eukaryotic small subunit ribosomal RNA", at positions 592 to 975 of the family's 1831-position model. The record is from RNAcentral.
CAAUAGCGUAUAUUAAAGUUGUUGCAGUUAGAACGCUCGUAGUCGGAUUUCGGGGCGGGUCGACCGGUCUGCCGAUGGGUACGCACUGGCCGACGCGUCCUUCCUUCCGGAGACCGUCUCACUCUUAACUGAGCGGAGGCGGGAGACGGAACGUUUACUUUGAAAAAAUCAGAGUGUUUCAAGCAGGCAGCUCGCUCUUGCAUGGAUUAGCAUGGGAUAAUGAAAUAGGACUUUGGUGCUAUUUUGUUGGUUUCGAACACCGAAGUAAUGAUGAGAAGGGACAGUCAGGGGCACUCGUAUUCCGCCGAGAGAGGUGAAAUUCUCAGACCAGCGGAAGACGAACCACUGCGAAAGCAUUUGCCAGGGAUGUUUNCACUG